RNAcentral lists this long non-coding RNA (265 nucleotides) under Lotus japonicus. Its description in RNAcentral is "long non-coding RNA (LJAP_LNC000314)". The record is from RNAcentral. Lineage: Eukaryota; Viridiplantae; Streptophyta; Magnoliopsida; Fabales; Fabaceae.
UAAUUUAGAGAGUUGUACCGUCCUUUUUAUUUUGCAAAUUUAUUUUAAUUUUUUAGUGUCUGUCAUAACAUACAUUCUAGUACACUGAUAGUGAACAAUCACAUUUUUCUUCUCCUGUAUCAUGCAACACAGGUAAGAUGUACUGAUGGGUAACCAGCUGCAGUUAUCCCCUGUCCUAUUGUUUCAAGCAUUCUGUAUAUGUCUGAAGAACAGUCAUGGUCUUUGUCCCCUGCAACAAAGUGAUGAAUUCCACCCUCCAGUUCAA